GGGCUGGGGGAACAGGACGUGUAGAAGACGGUGUGAGAUACUGGAGGGCCAGAGAAAGCAAGCUUGAAACAGAGAGGAAUGGGUCACUUUGGUGGAGGAAAUUGGGCCACCAAGCAGCCAGCAAGCAGCCCUAUGGAGAGGCCAAUGUGGAGAGAAACUGAGGCCUUCCACCAAAAGCCAGCACCAACUUGCCAUCCAUGUGUGUGAACCUGCUUGCAGUACAGAGUGGUCAACCCCAGUCAAGCUUUCAGAUAACUACAGCCCUAGCUGACAUCUUGACUACAGCUUCAAGAGCGAUAUCAAGGCAGAACUGCUUCGCUAAACUGCCCUUGAAUUCCUGACCCACAGAAACUGAGAGAGAGAAUAAAUGUUUAUUGUUAUUUCAAGUGA
Long non-coding RNA from Macaca mulatta (Rhesus monkey), 390 nucleotides. RefSeq lists it as uncharacterized. NCBI's taxonomy places the organism in Eukaryota, Metazoa, Chordata, Mammalia, Primates, Cercopithecidae. The record is from RefSeq and is a predicted model, not a curated record.